UUCCGGUUGAUCCUGCCGGACCCGACUGCUAUCAGAGUGGGACUAAGCCAUGCGAGUCAACAUAGCAAUAUGUGGCAUACGGCUCAGUAACACGUAGUCAACAUGCCCAGGGGACGUGGAUAACCUCGGGAAACUGAGGAUAAACCGCGAUAAGUCACUACUUCUGGAAUGGGUAAUGACUCAAAUCUACAUGGCCCCUGGAUUGGACUGCGGCCGAUCAGGCUGUUGGUGAGGUAAUGGCCCACCAAACCUGUAACCGGUACGGGCUCUGAGAGGAGGAGCCCGGAGAUGGGCACUGAGACAAGGGCCCAGGCCCUAUGGGGCGCAGCAGGCGAGAAACCUUAGCAAUGUGCGAAAGCACGACUAGGUUAAUCCGAGUGAUUUCUGUUGAAGAAAUCUUUUGUCAGUCGUAAAACCACAGACGAAUAAGGGGUGGGCAAGUCUGGUGUCAGCCGCCGCGGUAAUACCAGCACCUCGAGUGGUCAGGAGGUUUAUUGGGCCUAAAGCAUCCGUAGCCGGCUACGCAAGUCUCCGGUUAAAUCCAGCUGCUCAACAGAUGGGCUGCCGGAGAUACUACAUAGCUAGGGAGCGGGAGAGGUAGACGGUAUUCUGUGGGUAGGGGUAAAAUCCACUGAUCCAUAGAGGACCACCAGUGGCGAAGGCGGUCUACCAGAACGCGUUCGACGGUGAGGGAUGAAAGCUGGGGGAGCAAACCGGAUUAGAUACCCGGGUAGUCCCAGCUGUAAACGAUGCAAACUCGGUGAUGCAUUGGCUUAUGGCCAAUGCAGUGCCGCAGGGAAGCCGUUAAGUUUGCCGCCUGGGAAGUACGGACGCAAGUCUGAAACUUAAAGGAAUUGGCGGGGGAGCA
Molecule: ribosomal RNA, 868 nt
Filed under: uncultured archaeon
Lineage: Archaea
Description: bacterial SSU rRNA
Rfam family: Archaeal small subunit ribosomal RNA
Source: RNAcentral